RNAcentral lists this ribosomal RNA (473 nucleotides) under uncultured bacterium. Its description in RNAcentral is "bacterial SSU rRNA". It matches the Rfam family "Bacterial small subunit ribosomal RNA", at positions 355 to 820 of the family's 1533-position model. The record is from RNAcentral.
UGGGGAAUAUUGGACAAUGGGGGAAACCCUGAUCCAGCGACGCCGCGUGUGUGAAGAAGGCCUGCGGGUUGUAAAGCACUUUUAGUGGGGAUGAAAGGUGCAGAGCUAACACCUCUGCAUCUUGACCUGACCCACAGAAAAAGCACCGGCUAACUCUGUGCCAGCAGCCGCGGUAAUACAGAGGGUGCGAGCGUUAAUCGGAAUUACUGGGCGUAAAGCGUGCGUAGACGGUAAUGUAAGUCGGGUGUGAAAGCCCCGGGCUCAACCUGGGAAUUGCAUUCGAGACUGCAUUGCUAGGGUGCGGAAGAGGGAAGCGGAAUUUCCGGUGUAGCGGUGAAAUGCGUAGAUAUCGGAAGGAACACCAGUGGCGAAAGCGGCUUCCUGGUCCGACACCGACGUUCAGGCACGAAAGCGUGGGGAGCAAACAGGAUUAGAUACCCUGGUAGUCCACGCCAUAAACGAUGAGAACUAGA